RNAcentral lists this microRNA precursor (92 nucleotides) under Linum usitatissimum (flax). Its description in RNAcentral is "miR172a stem-loop (lus-MIR172a)". Its record names the gene lus-MIR172a. The stretch from base 6 to 87 matches the Rfam family "mir-172 microRNA precursor family". Rfam says of the family: mir-172 has been experimentally verified in Arabidopsis thaliana. Lineage: Eukaryota; Viridiplantae; Streptophyta; Magnoliopsida; Malpighiales; Linaceae. The record is from miRBase by way of RNAcentral.
AGUCGUUGUUUGCUGGCGUAGCAUCAUCAAGAUUCACAUUCCGAACUGGGAUCAUGAGAAUCUUGAUGAUGCUGCAUUGGCCAUAUACGACU